AUCUGCUUUCAGUUCAGCAGCUCACACUCGGGCUGGCUGCAAGAAACGUGUGCUCUGCCGCCAGAGACACCGCAGUUGCUACAGCAACUGCAGAGCGCGGAGACACCCUCCCUCUGUCCCCCUCCACUCCCCCAAAAUAAGGCAGAGCAGGGAAGGUGAUGGUGGAGAGGCAAAGGAACUGGAAGGGACGACCCUCGGCAGCCACGGCUGCUCCUCGCUCGGCUCCCACCCCGCCACGGCCGGGGCUCGGACACCGCUGUGUUCCCAUCGCUCCUGACAAGCACUUUGUUUCCAGAAAGAACAUCUUGGAUUAUGUUGCUGCAAAUGAGAGUUUUCAAUCAUGGUAUCGGAUGAGCUGCAGCUCGUGGCUGUUGAAGCUCAGCAGUGCUAAAACGUGACGUGGGCUCGCAGAGGACACGUGCAGCCCGUGGGGUGAACAGCAACCUGAACAGCUCUUCCAGCAGCUGGGGCUCCGUGUCCUUCUAGUAAUAAAUUCCUCCUGGACAGUGUUUCA
Molecule: long non-coding RNA, 514 nt
Filed under: Cyanistes caeruleus (blue tit)
Lineage: Eukaryota; Metazoa; Chordata; Aves; Passeriformes; Paridae
Description: lncRNA (ENSCCEG00000024242.1)
Source: RNAcentral